RNAcentral lists this transfer RNA (74 nucleotides) under Candidatus Shikimatogenerans bostrichidophilus. RNAcentral describes it as "tRNA-Val". It matches the Rfam family "tRNA". From Rfam's summary of the family: Transfer RNA (tRNA) molecules are approximately 80 nucleotides in length. Their secondary structure includes four short double-helical elements and three loops (D, anti-codon, and T loops). Lineage: Bacteria; Pseudomonadati; Bacteroidota; Flavobacteriia; Flavobacteriales. The record is from RNAcentral.
GGGUGGUUAGCUCAGUGGUUUAGAGCGUUUGCCUUACAAGCAAAAUGUCACUAGUUCGAAUCUAGUACCACCCA